GAUGACGACGGUGGUGAAGAGCGUGUUGCAGGCGAUCAGAGAGAAAGGUCUCCGCAGUCUCUUGAGGGAGGCGAGGGAAGAAGGUUACCUGAAAUGUCUAGCUGAUGGAAACCUUCUGUAAGUCAUUAUUUCACUUAUACUUGAAUGCUUUUGUUACUUGAUAUGUUUGUUUAACAAAGAAGCAAAGCUACUUGGUUAUAUGAUAGUUUGAUCUUUUCAAGAAUGGGGAAAUACCCUUGAUUUUUCUUUUGGUGAAGAGGAAUAUCCUUGAAUAAAAGGUGCAAGGAUGUCUUGUUUGUUAUACUGUCCCAUCUUCUGGACAUGCUCAACAAACUAUCUUGUGUGUUCAUUCAGGCUUUAAGUCACAUAGAACAUAUUAUCGUAACAGAGUCACAUAGAACAUAUUAGCAACCAAAGGUAGAUGAACCUUGAAGAUAUGCUUUUUCUGUUUUGUUUUUGCAAAUUCUGGGUGAUGAGGAUGAUGAAUUGCGCUGGCUUAGCUUA
This 504-nucleotide long non-coding RNA is filed under the name Rosa chinensis. Its description in RNAcentral is "sRNA RchiOBHm_Chr1g0384061". Lineage: Eukaryota; Viridiplantae; Streptophyta; Magnoliopsida; Rosales; Rosaceae. The record is from RNAcentral.